Molecule: transfer RNA, 38 nt
Filed under: Kandelia candel
Lineage: Eukaryota; Viridiplantae; Streptophyta; Magnoliopsida; Malpighiales; Rhizophoraceae
Description: partial trnF
Source: RNAcentral
CGGGAUAGCUCAGCUGGUAGAGCAGAGGACUGAAAAUA